AUACGGAGGAUCCGAGCGUUAUCCGGAUUUAUUGGGUUUAAAGGGUGCGCAGGCGGCCAUUUAGGUCAGCGGUUAAAUCGUGGGGCUCAACCCCAUUCUGCCGUUGAUACUGGGUGGCUUGAUUGCGGUCGAGGUUGGCGGAAUUCGUUGUGUAGCGGUGAAAUGCAUAGAUAUGACGAAGAACACCGAUUGCGUAGGCAGCUGACCAGACCGCAAAUGACGCUCAUGCACGAAAGUGCGGGGAUCGAACAGGAUUAGAUACCCUGGUAGUCCGCACAGUAAACGAUGAAUACUUGUUUUCGGCGAUAUAAUGUCGGAGGCAAAGCGAAAGCGAUAAGUAUUCCACCUGGGGAGUACGCCGGCAACGGUGAAACUCAAAUGAAUUGACGGGG
This 392-nucleotide ribosomal RNA is filed under the name uncultured bacterium. Its description in RNAcentral is "partial 16S ribosomal RNA". It matches the Rfam family "Bacterial small subunit ribosomal RNA", at positions 523 to 918 of the family's 1533-position model. The record is from RNAcentral.